RNAcentral lists this ribosomal RNA (253 nucleotides) under uncultured bacterium. Its description in RNAcentral is "partial 16S ribosomal RNA". It matches the Rfam family "Bacterial small subunit ribosomal RNA", at positions 524 to 776 of the family's 1533-position model. The record is from RNAcentral.
UACGGGGGGGGCAAGCGUUGUUCGGAAUUACUGGGCGUAAAGGGCUCGUAGGCGGCCAACUAAGUCAUACGUGAAAUCCCUCAGCUUAACUGGGGAACUGCGUGUGAUACUGGAUGGCUUGGAUUUGGGAGAGGGAUGCGGAAUUCCAGGUGUAGCGGUGAAAUGCGUAGAUAUCCGGAGGAACACCGGUGGCGAAGGCGGCUUCCUGGACCGACACUGACGCUGAGGCGCGAAAGCGUGGGGAGCAAACAGG